CCUACGGGAGGCAGCAGUGAGGAAUAUUGGUCAAUGGACGAGAGUCUGAACCAGCCAAGUAGCGUGAAGGAUGACUGCCCUAUGGGUUGUAAACUUCUUUUAUAUGGGAAUAAAACGUGCAAAGUGUGGGAUUUUGUAUGGACCAUAUGAAUAAGGAACGGCUCACCCCGUGCCAGCAGCCGCGGUAAUACGGGGGAUCCGAGCGUUCAGCGGUUUUAGUGGGUUUAAAGGGAGCGUAGGUGGAUUGUUAAGGCAGUUGUGAAAGUUUGCGGCUCAACCGUAAAAUUGCAGUUGAAACUGGCAGUCUUGAGUACAGUAGAGGUGGGCGGAAUUCGUGGUGUAGCGGUGAAAUGCUUAGAUAUCACGAAGAACUCCGAUUGCGAAGGCAGUUCACUGGACUGCAACUGACACUGAGGCUCGAAAGUGUGGGUAUCAAACAGGAUUAGAUACCCCAGUAGUC
This 460-nucleotide ribosomal RNA is filed under the name uncultured bacterium. RNAcentral's name for it is "partial 16S ribosomal RNA". It matches the Rfam family "Bacterial small subunit ribosomal RNA", at positions 338 to 795 of the family's 1533-position model. The record is from RNAcentral.